CAGCCGCCACGGGAAUACGGAGGGUGCAAGCGUUGUCCGGAUUUAUUGGGCGUAAAGCGAGCGCAGGCGGUUUCUUAAGUCUGAUGUGAAAGCCCCCGGCUCAACCGGGGAGGGUCAUUGGAAACUGGGAGACUUGAGUGCAGAAGAGGAGAGUGGAAUUCCAUGUGUAGCGGUGAAAUGCGUAGAUAUAUGGAGGAACACCAGUGGCGAAGGCGGCUCUCUGGUCUGUAACUGACGCUGAGGCUCGAAAGCGUGGGGAGCGAACAGGAUUAGAUACUCCAGUAGUCCCUGUCUCUUAUAC
Molecule: ribosomal RNA, 301 nt
Filed under: uncultured bacterium
Lineage: Bacteria
Description: partial 16S ribosomal RNA
Rfam family: Bacterial small subunit ribosomal RNA
Source: RNAcentral